UUAUCAUUGUCGCAUCAUGAUUGUUUUGAUGUCUGAUCAUUUGGAUUUUUGUUCCUGGGAGUGCCUUACUCAUUUCCAUGGUGGGGCACACUCAGAUGGUGGAGGGGUCGAGGGAAGGCACCAACAAAGAGCUGCUCUUGGCAGAUGGUACAGGAACAUGGCUGUGAGAAUGUGCUACCCUCAUGGUCCCCUGCUGACCCUCUACACUGUGCUUCUGGACCUUGUGGGAACAGAGCUCUAGCUGUGUUUACAGGAUGGCUUCAGCCCAAUCUACAUGUGUGUGCAUGGCACAGGACAUAUUUGCACACUUACACAGUAGGUUUGUGCCAAAAGUAGAGGAAGGCUUGAGAUUUGUGCUAAAUCAGGCACCCAGCACAGUCUUUUCUGAGUUAAGACAGUAAUUGGCAGUCAAUAUUGAAAAUAUUAAGAUAAAUUUUUCUUCAUUUUUGUGAUAUAUCUAACUAGUCACACGUAAACUUUGAUCUUACAGAGGAUUUUCAUAAUUUUGUCAUCUGAAAUAUAUUUCUCUUUGAAAAUAUAGUAAGACCUUCAGUCAGAAUAAGGCAAACUGCAGAAGUGAAAGCCGUCAGCUCUACUAAAGUGUAGAUGGUAAACAAAAAUACAGAUACAAAACAGAAAUAUGUACAUUCUUUAAAGGUUUACUUUGUUAUUUCAGUUGACAUUUUACUGAAUGUCACUGAGAGUGAAUAAACAAGCUAAUGAGGUUUUAGCUAAAUCUCUG
Molecule: long non-coding RNA, 742 nt
Filed under: Anas platyrhynchos platyrhynchos (common mallard)
Lineage: Eukaryota; Metazoa; Chordata; Aves; Anseriformes; Anatidae
Description: lncRNA (ENSAPLG00000020817.1)
Source: RNAcentral